RNAcentral lists this ribosomal RNA (496 nucleotides) under uncultured bacterium. Its description in RNAcentral is "partial 16S ribosomal RNA". It matches the Rfam family "Bacterial small subunit ribosomal RNA", at positions 28 to 506 of the family's 1533-position model. The record is from RNAcentral.
GAUGAACGCUGGCGGCGUGCCUAAUACAUGCAAGUCGAGCGAACAGACGAGGAGCUUGCUCCUCUGACGUUAGCGGCGGACGGGUGAGUAACACGUGGAUAACCUACCUAUAAGACUGGGAUAACUUCGGGAAACCGGAGCUAAUACCGGAUAAUAUAUUGAACCGCAUGGUUCAAUAGUGAAAGACGGUUUUGCUGUCACUUAUAGAUGGAUCCGCGCCGCAUUAGCUAGUUGGUAAGGUAACGGCUUACCAAGGCAACGAUGCGUAGCCGACCUGAGAGGGUGAUCGGCCACACUGGAACUGAGACACGGUCCAGACUCCUACGGGAGGCAGCAGUAGGGAAUCUGCCGCAAUGGGCGAAAGCCUGACGGAGCAACGCCGCGGGAGUGAUGAAGGUCUUCGGAUCGUAAAACUCUGUUAUUAGGGAAGAACAAAUGUGUAAGUAACUAUGCACGUCUUGACGGUACCUAAGCAGAAAGCCACGGCUAACUACGU